This 468-nucleotide long non-coding RNA is filed under the name Parus major (Great Tit). Its description in RNAcentral is "lncRNA (ENSPMJG00000019305.1)". The record is from RNAcentral. Lineage: Eukaryota; Metazoa; Chordata; Aves; Passeriformes; Paridae.
AGCAGAAGCAACCAGUUUGUGAUACCCUAGUCAUGGAAAUUGGCUGGAAAGCCAGGAAAUCCAACCACAGAGCCAUUCCUUAAGCCUGGAGGACUUUUUUCCUCUCUCCCCUUGCUUUUGCUGCCAACUGCUGCAUCUCAUAUCUGGGAAAGAACAGGUGCAGAGCCAUCUUGGGAUUGCAGUGCAUUGCCAGCAGCUUGCAGGGGUCCUGCGAGGAAUUACAUGUUGCUGCUGAUGGAGGUUUCUUCCUCCUGUUUGCUGGGACAAUCAUGCUGGUGUUUAUGGCCCUCUCAAAAGUAUUCUUUGCCACAGCAAUAUGGGAAGAAAGAUCAUUCAAGCUCUUCUCUGUCCCAAGUGAGGAGAUGAACAACAAAUGGAUUCUAAAGGCAUGAAGUGUUCAGCACUGCUGUGAGUACUGAUCCAGCUGAUAGCUUCUGCUUCUGUGUACAUUAAGAACUGAAAUAUGAU